AAAUUGAACUCGCUGUGAAGAUGCAGUGUACCCGCGGCAAGACGGAAAGACCCCGUGAACCUUUACUAUAGCUUGACACUGAACAUUGAGCCUUGAUGUGUAGGAUAGGUGGGAGGCUUUGAAGUGUGGACGCCAGUCUGCAUGGAGCCGACCUUGAAAUACCACCCUUUAAUGUUUGAUGUUCUAACGUUGACCCGUAAUCCGGGUUGCGGACAGUGUCUGGUGGGUAGUUUGACUGGGGCGGUCUCCUCCUAAAGAGUAACGGAGGAGCACGAAGGUUGGCUAAUCCUGGUCGGACAUCAGGAGGUUAGUGCAAUGGCAUAAGC
Molecule: ribosomal RNA, 326 nt
Filed under: Escherichia coli
Lineage: Bacteria; Pseudomonadati; Pseudomonadota; Gammaproteobacteria; Enterobacterales; Enterobacteriaceae
Description: partial 23S ribosomal RNA
Rfam family: Bacterial large subunit ribosomal RNA
Source: RNAcentral